Molecule: ribosomal RNA, 513 nt
Filed under: uncultured bacterium
Lineage: Bacteria
Description: partial 16S ribosomal RNA
Rfam family: Bacterial small subunit ribosomal RNA
Source: RNAcentral
GACGAACGCUGGCGGCGUGCCUAAUACAUGCAAGUAGAACGCUGACUACUUUAGCUUGCUAGAGUAGAAGGAGUUGCGAACGGGUGAGUAACGCGUAGGUAACCUGCCUACUAGCGGGGGAUAACUAUUGGAAACGAUAGCUAAUACCGCAUAACAGUGUUUAACACAUGUUAGAUGCUUGAAAGAUGCAAUUUCAUCACUAGUAGAUUGACCUGGGUUGUAUUAGCUAGUUGGUGGGGUAACGGCCAACCAAGGCGACGAUACAUAGCCGGCCUGAGAGGGUGAUCGGCCACACUGGGACUGAGACACGGCCCAGACUCCUACGGGAGGCAGCAGUAGGGAAUCUUCGGCAAUGGGGACAACCCUGACCGAGCAACGCCGCGUGAGUGAAGAAGGUUUUCGGAUCGUAAAGCUCUGUUGUAAGAGAAGAACGUGUGUGAGAGUGGAAAGUUCACACAGUGACGGUAACUUACCAGAAAGGGACGGCUAACUACGUGCCAGCAGCCGCCGCAG